UGGAGCAUGGUGCAAUGGUAGCACAAAGGACUCUGACCCCUUUGAUGUAAGUUCGAUUCUUACUGCUCCUGCCA
This 74-nucleotide transfer RNA is filed under the name Firmicutes bacterium ADurb.Bin080. RNAcentral describes it as "tRNA-Gln". It matches the Rfam family "tRNA". From Rfam's summary of the family: Transfer RNA (tRNA) molecules are approximately 80 nucleotides in length. Their secondary structure includes four short double-helical elements and three loops (D, anti-codon, and T loops). The record is from RNAcentral. Lineage: Bacteria; Bacillati; Bacillota.